Molecule: ribosomal RNA, 253 nt
Filed under: uncultured bacterium
Lineage: Bacteria
Description: partial 16S ribosomal RNA
Rfam family: Bacterial small subunit ribosomal RNA
Source: RNAcentral
GACGAACCGUGCGAACGUUGUUCGGAAUCACUGGGCUUAAAGGGCGCGUAGGCGGGCCGGCCAGUCAGGGGUGAAAGCCCGCGGCUCAACCGCGGAAGGGCCUUUGAUACUGCCGGCCUCGAGCGAGGUAGGGGCGUGCGGAACUUCCGGUGGAGCGGUGAAAUGCGUAGAUAUCGGAAGGAACACCGGUGGCGAAAGCGGCGCGCUGGACCUCUUCUGACGCUGAGGCGCGAAAGCCAGGGGAGCAAACGGG